Molecule: ribosomal RNA, 373 nt
Filed under: uncultured organism
Description: partial 16S ribosomal RNA
Rfam family: Bacterial small subunit ribosomal RNA
Source: RNAcentral
GUGGGUGGCAGGCGUUGUCCGGAAUUAUUGGGCGUAAAGCGCGCGCAGGCGGUUCUUUAAGUCUGAUGUGAAAGCCCACGGCUCAACCGUGGAGGGUCAUUGGAAACUGGAGAACUUGAGUACAGAAGAGGAAAGCGGAAUUCCACGUGUAGCGGUGAAAUGCGUAGAGAUGUGGAGGAACACCAGUGGCGAAGGCGGCUUUCUGGUCUGUAACUGACGCUGAGGCGCGAAAGCGUGGGGGGAGCAAACAGGAUUAGAUACCCUGGUAGUCCACGCCGUAAACGAUGAGUGCUAAGUGUUAGGGGGUUUCCGCCCCUUAGUGCUGCAGCUAACGCAUUAAGCACUCCGCCCUGGGAGUACGGCCGCAAGGCUG